RNAcentral lists this long non-coding RNA (1140 nucleotides) under Sorghum bicolor (sorghum). Its description in RNAcentral is "long non-coding RNA (SBIC_LNC002292)". Lineage: Eukaryota; Viridiplantae; Streptophyta; Magnoliopsida; Poales; Poaceae. The record is from RNAcentral.
GCUGCCGAAAUUUUCCACCGCCAUCGCCGCCGUUGUUGCCGACCUCGACGCCGUCGCGCGGUGACGGUCUCCUCCGCCCUCGACGCCGACGCCGCCCCGCGGUGAGAGCCUCUCCUGCUCGCGCGUUCCCUCUCUCUCUCUCCCUGCGCAUCCUCGACGUGGCGGCGGUGGUGGUGGUGGGGGCGCGAUGGUGGCGCUGCCCGGACGGGGAAGAGGGGCGGCCGCGGUGGUGGUGGUGGAAGGGGAAGGGAUGACCGCGGUGGCGAUGGUGGAAGAGGAUGGGGCUGGUGCGGGGUGUGCGGUGGUGGGCGGUGCGGUGGCGGCGGCGGCUGGAGGUAGGGGAUGACCCCGACAGGUGGGGCCCACCUGCCAGAGAGAGGGAGAGAAGGGAGAGGGAGUGACGGCCUGCUGGGCCUGUUGGGCUGGAAUUUUUUUUUCUUUAACAAUUUUUUUAUAUAUAGAAAUCAAUUAUUCAUAUAUGUAUGAUGUAUGUAUAUAUAGAAAUGAAUAAAUAUUAUUAUUAAUAUUAAAUUAAUUAUUAUGUUUUUUUUAUCUCUUUAUAUAUAAAUAAGAGUUAUUAUUAAUUAUAUUAUUAUUAAUUAUAUUAUUAAUAAUAUAUAUUCCAAGUGAGGGAGAAGUGAGAAUUUGUGCCUUUAUAUAUAAUGCUAACAUAAUUUAAUUAAUUAUUAUGUCUUUAAUCCUUUGUAUAUAAAUAUUAUAUGCAUGUAUUUAAUUAAGUUGUGCCUAUCUUUUUAUGUAUGAUGUAUGUAUAUAUGAAAAUCAAUAAAUAUUAUUAUUAAUAUUAAAUUAAUUAUUAUGUCUUUUUUAUCUCUUUGUAUAUAAAUAAGAGUUAUUAUUAAUUAUAUUAUUAAUAAUAUAUAUUCCAAGUGAGGGAGAAGUGAGAAUUUGUGCCUUUAUAUAUAAUGCUAACAUAAUUUAAUUAAUUAUUAUGUCUUUAAUCCUUCGUAUGUAAGUAUUAUAUGCAUGUAUUUAAUUAAGUUGUGCCUAUCUUUUUAUGUAUGAUGUAUGUAUAUAUGGAAAUCUAUAAAUAUUAUUAUUAAUAUUAAAAUAAUAAUAAUAAUUAUGUCUUUUUUAUCUCUUUGUAUAUAAAUAAUUAUAAUUAUUAAUAACAUAAUGCUA